This is a long non-coding RNA of Chelonia mydas (Green sea turtle), 1010 nucleotides long. RefSeq lists it as uncharacterized. The record is from RefSeq and is a predicted model, not a curated record. The transcript is spliced from 4 exons. NCBI's taxonomy places the organism in Eukaryota, Metazoa, Chordata, Testudines, Cheloniidae.
UUACCUAGUAGGCCUAAGAGAGAGGGGUCUGACUAGGAAGGUUGAUGAAGGAGGAGCUUAAAGAAGCAUGGUAGAAAGUAGUCUAGGGAAGAUAGUAGUAGGGUUGGUGAAGGCCCAGGCCUUAACUGCUUGCUGUAGGGCCCUGGACUGGAAUCUAGAAUAAAGGGCGGGCCUGGGUUCCCCUGCCAUCCACUGCAAAGUGGUAUUGCUAUGGGCAGUGAAUGGGAAUCCUGCCUGGUCAUUGCAGGAAUGAUGUAGUCAGGGCAGCUGACUGAGGGCUGCCUGAAGGGAAAACCACUGUGAGACCUGGCUGGAGAUUUGGAUCCCGAAGCAGCCAUACUGUGACUCCAUGAGUGGGAGGAGAGCUGCAAUGAUGGAAGAUCAGAAAGGGGGCACUGAACCAGGCAGAGCUAAUUGACUGAAGGAGGCAUCACUCUGUGGAUUGACUCACCACACGCACGACGACGCAGGAUAGGGAGUCAGAGGGUUUUAGCAACUUACCUGAAGAAGCACUCAUCUGAUCCUGUUCUGGGUUCCCUGGUUCCAUCUGAGGGAUCUAGCAGUCCUGCUGUGCUGUGCUAUCCUAAGGAGAAGACAUCAGUGAAUCAAGCUGCCAGGAAUGGUGAGAAGUAGGAAGAAAUUGUGUUAGGCAUCAAGAACAGAAGCAGAUUAUCAUCCAUUGUAGCCAUUUCCAGACUAAUAUGAAUCCUGUCUCCUGAUCUGCUGAUGCAAGUUAGUCUCUCAACUGAGAUUUCAUUAAGGUAACUCACCCUUGACUCUGACAUCUGGGCUCAUAUUCCUGGCAGCUGACUCCUGCUCCAGCCAAUAGACACAUCCACCCAUGUCCCAGUCUUCGACAGUUUGAGCAGCCCUAAAAACACAAACAAUAAGGGAACUAGAGCUGAUAUGGCAAGCAUGGAUCCUACAAAGGCCAAUAUCUCUGACUGAGAUAGUGGGAGCCCUACAGAAUCUACAGGCCCAGAAUGGCUGAAGCCACUUCAUCUUAAGUU